AUUAACGCGAAGAACCUUACCAGGCCUUGACAUCCAAUGAACUUUCUAGAGAUAGAUUGGUGCCUUCGGGAACAUUGAGACAGGUGCUGCACGGCUGUCGUCAGCUCGUGUCGUGGGAUGUUGGGUUAAGUCCCGUAACGAGCGCAACCCUUGUCCUUAGUUACCAGCACGUUAUGGUGGGCACUCUAAGGAGACUGCCGGUGACAAACCGGAGGAAGGUGGGGAUGACGUCAAGUCAUCAUGGCCCUUACGGCCUGGGCUACACACGUGCUACAAUGGUCGGUACAGAGGGUUGCCAAGCCGCGAGGUGGAGCUAAUCCCAGAAAACCGAUCGUAGUCCGGAUCGCAGUCUGCAACUCGACUGCGUGAAGUCGGAAUCGCUAGUAAUCGCGAAUCAGAAUGUCGCGGUGAAUACGUUCCCGGGCCUUGUACACACCGA
Molecule: ribosomal RNA, 439 nt
Filed under: uncultured bacterium
Lineage: Bacteria
Description: bacterial SSU rRNA
Rfam family: Bacterial small subunit ribosomal RNA
Source: RNAcentral